GGUUAAGCGACUAAGCGUACACGGUGGAUGCCCUGGCAGUCAGAGGCGAUGAAGGACGUGCUAAUCUGCGAAAAGCGUCGGUAAGGUGAUAUGAACCGUUACAGCCGGCGAUGUCCGAAUGGGGAAACCCAGUGCAAUUCGUUGCACUAUCGUUAACUGAAUACAUAGGUUAACGAGGCGAACCGGGGGAACUGAAACAUCUAAGUACCCCGAGGAAAAGAAAUCAACCGAGAUUCCCCCAGUAGCGGCGAGCGAACGGGGAGCAGCCCAGAGUCUGAAUCAGCUUGUGUGUUAGUGGAACGGUCUGGAAAGUCCGACGGUACAGGGUGAUAGUCCCGUACACCAAAAUGCACAGGCUGUGAACUCGAAGAGUAGGGCGGGACACGUGGUAUCCUGUCUGAAUAUGGGGGGACCAUCCUCCAAGGCUAAAUACUCCUGACUGACCGAUAGUGAACCAGUACCGUGAGGGAAAGGCGAAAAGAACCCCGGCGAGGGGAGUGAAAAAGAACCUGAAACCGUGUACGUACAAGCAGUGGGAGCACCUUCGGGUGUGACUGCGUACCUUUUGUAUAAUGGGUCAGCGACUUAUAUUCUGUAGCAAGGUUAACCGUAUAGGGGAGCCGCAGGGAAACCGAGUCUUAACUGGGCGUUAAGUUGCAGGGUAUAGACCCGAAACCCGGUGAUCUAGCCAUGGGCAGGUUGAAGGUUGGGUAACACUAACUGGAGGACCGAACCGACUAAUGUUGAAAAAUUAGCGGAUGACUUGUGGCUGGGGGUGAAAGGCCAAUCAAACCGGGAGAUAGCUGGUUCUCCCCGAAAGCUAUUUAGGUAGCGCCUCGUGAAUUCAUCUUCGGGGGUAGAGCACUGUUUCGGCUAGGGGGUCAUCCCGACUUACCAACCCGAUGCAAACUACGAAUACCGAAGAAUGUUAUCACGGGAGACACACGGCGGGUGCUAACGUCCGUCGUGAAGAGGGAAACAACCCAGACCGCCAGCUAAGGUCCCAAAGUCACAGUUAAGUGGGAAACGAUGUGGGAAGGCACAGACAGCCAGGAUGUUGGCUUAGAAGCAGCCAUCAUUUAAAGAAAGCGUAAUAGCUCACUGGUCGAGUCGGCCUGCGCGGAAGAUGUAACGGGGCUAAACUGUGCACCGAAGCUGCGGCAGCGACACUAUGUGUUGUUGGGUAGGGGAGCGUUCUGUAAGCCUGCGAAGGUGGCCUGUGAGGGUUGCUGGAGGUAUCAGAAGUGCGAAUGCUGACAUAAGUAACGAUAAUGCGGGUGAAAAGCCCGCACGCCGGAAGACCAAGGGUUCCUGUCCAACGUUAAUCGGGGCAGGGUGAGUCGACCCCUAAGGCGAGGCCGAAAGGCGUAGUCGAUGGGAAACAGGUUAAUAUUCCUGUACUUGGUGUUACUGCGAAGGGGGGACGGAGAAGGCUAUGUUAGCCGGGCGACGGUUGUCCCGGUUUAAGCAUGUAGGCGGAGGUUCCAGGUAAAUCCGGUACCUUAUUAACGCUGAGGUGUGAUGACGAGGCACUACGGUGCUGAAGUAACAAAUGCCCUGCUUCCAGGAAAAGCCUCUAAGCAUCAGGUAACAUUGAAUCGUACCCCAAACCGACACAGGUGGUCAGGUAGAGAAUACCAAGGCGCUUGAGAGAACUCGGGUGAAGGAACUAGGCAAAAUGGUGCCGUAACUUCGGGAGAAGGCACGCUGAUAUGUAGGUGAAGCCCCUGCGGGUGGAGCUGAAAUCAGUCGAAGAUACCAGCUGGCUGCAACUGUUUAUUAAAAACACAGCACUGUGCAAACACGAAAGUGGACGUAUACGGUGUGACGCCUGCCCGGUGCCGGAAGGUUAAUUGAUGGGGUUAUCCGUAAGGAGAAGCUCUUGAUCGAAGCCCCGGUAAACGGCGGCCGUAACUAUAACGGUCCUAAGGUAGCGAAAUUCCUUGUCGGGUAAGUUCCGACCUGCACGAAUGGCGUAAUGAUGGCCAGGCUGUCUCCACCCGAGACUCAGUGAAAUUGAACUCGCUGUGAAGAUGCAGUGUACCCGCGGCAAGACGGAAAGACCCCGUGAACCUUUACUAUAGCUUGACACUGAACAUUGAGCCUUGAUGUGUAGGAUAGGUGGGAGGCUUUGAAGCGUGGACGCCAGUCUGCGUGGAGCCAACCUUGAAAUACCACCCUUUAAUGUUUGAUGUUCUAACGUUGGCCCCUGACCGGGGUUGCGGACAGUGUCUGGUGGGUAGUUUGACUGGGGCGGUCUCCUCCCAAAGAGUAACGGAGGAGCACGAAGGUUAGCUAAUCCUGGUCGGACAUCAGGAGGUUAGUGCAAUGGCAUAAGCUAGCUUGACUGCGAGCGUGACGGCGCGAGCAGGUGCGAAAGCAGGUCAUAGUGAUCCGGUGGUUCUGAAUGGAAGGGCCAUCGCUCAACGGAUAAAAGGUACUCCGGGGAUAACAGGCUGAUACCGCCCAAGAGUUCAUAUCGACGGCGGUGUUUGGCACCUCGAUGUCGGCUCAUCACAUCCUGGGGCUGAAGUAGGUCCCCAAGGGUAUGGCUGUUCGCCAUUUAAAGUGGUACGCGAGCUGGGUUUAGAACGUCGUGAGACAGUUCGGUCCCUAUCUGCCGUGGGCGCUGGAGAAUUGAGGGGGGCUGCUCCUAGUACGAGAGGACCGGAGUGGACGCAUCACUGGUGUUCGGGUUGUCAUGCCAAUGGCAUUGCCCGGUAGCUAAAUGCGGAAGAGAUAAGUGCUGAAAGCAUCUAAGCACGAAACUUGCCCCGAGAUGAGUUCUCCCUGAGACUUUAAGUCUCCUGAAGGAACGUUAAAGACGAUGACGUUGAUAGGUCGGGUGUGUAAGCGUAGCGAUACGUUGAGCUAACCGAUACUAAUGAACCGUGAGGCUUAACCUUACAACGCCGAAGGUGUUUUG
This 2926-nucleotide ribosomal RNA is filed under the name Klebsiella aerogenes EA1509E. RNAcentral describes it as "LSU rRNA". It matches the Rfam family "Bacterial large subunit ribosomal RNA". Lineage: Bacteria; Pseudomonadati; Pseudomonadota; Gammaproteobacteria; Enterobacterales; Enterobacteriaceae. The record is from RNAcentral.